UAAGUACAGACUCUCAGUACAGUGAAACCGCGAAAGGCUCAUUAGAUCGGUCAAUGUUUACUGGAUCGUACAAUCCUACUUGGAUAACUGUGGCAAUUCUAGAGCUAAUACAUGCAACGAAGCUCCGACCUCCGGGGAAGAGCGCUUUUAUUAGAUCAAGACCAAUCGGGAGUUUCGGCUACCGUCCCAUUUGGCGACUCUGGAUAACUUUGGGCUGAUCGCACGGCCUCGAGCUGGCGACGUAUCUAUCAAAUGUCCGCCCUAUCAACUUUCGACGGUACGUGAUAUG
Molecule: ribosomal RNA, 289 nt
Filed under: Bathyspinula calcar
Lineage: Eukaryota; Metazoa; Mollusca; Bivalvia; Nuculanida sp.; Bathyspinulidae
Description: partial 18S ribosomal RNA
Rfam family: Eukaryotic small subunit ribosomal RNA
Source: RNAcentral